Molecule: long non-coding RNA, 99 nt
Organism: Sander lucioperca (pikeperch)
Lineage: Eukaryota; Metazoa; Chordata; Actinopteri; Perciformes; Percidae
Exons: 3
Source: RefSeq, a predicted model, not a curated record
AGGAGCUCGGAACUAACAGUGGAACUACAAUUCCCAUCCCGUCACGUGACGCCCUCUGACCCAAAAAGACUUUUCCCUUCAGACUCACCCGGAGAAAGA